Molecule: ribosomal RNA, 468 nt
Filed under: uncultured bacterium
Lineage: Bacteria
Description: partial 16S ribosomal RNA
Rfam family: Bacterial small subunit ribosomal RNA
Source: RNAcentral
GACGAACGCUGGCGGCGUGCUUAACACAUGCAAGUCGAACGGAAAGGCCCUGCUUUUGUGGCUUGCUCGAUUGGCGAACGGGUGAGUAACACGUGAGUAACCUCCCCUUGACUUUGGGAUAACUUCAGGAAACUGGGGCUAAUACCGGAUAGGAGCUCCUGCUGCAUGGUGGUGGUUGGUAAGUUUCGGCGGUUGUGGAUGGACUCGCUGGUUAUCGGCUUGUUGGUGGGGUAGUGGCUUACCAAGGCUUUGACGGGUAGCCGGCCUGAGAGGGUGACCGGCGACAUUGGGACUGAGAGACGGCGCAGACUGCUACGGGCGGCAGCAGUGGGGAAUAUGGCAGAAUGGGCGGAAGCCUGAUGUGACAACGCCGGGUGCGGGAUGACGGCCUUCGGGUUGUAAACCGCUUUCGCCUGUGACGAAGCGGGAGUGACGGUAAUGGGUAAAGAAGCACCGGCUAACUACGUG